This 27-nucleotide small RNA is filed under the name Bombyx mori (domestic silkworm). RNAcentral describes it as "ovarian small RNA-8216". The record is from RNAcentral. Lineage: Eukaryota; Metazoa; Arthropoda; Insecta; Lepidoptera; Bombycidae.
UGAGAUCAAGGGGAAGUAUCCCAGCCA